CACGUAGGGCGCAAGCGUUGUCCGGAAUUAUUGGGCGUAAAGAGCUCGUAGGCGGUCUGUUGCGUCCGCUGUGAAAACUCGGGGCUUAACCCCGAGCUUGCAGUGGAUACGGGCAGACUAGAGGUAGGUAGGGGAGAAUGGAAUUCCCGGUGUAGCGGUGAAAUGCGUAGAUAUCAGGAGGAACACCGGCGGCGAAGGCGGCCCUCUGGACCGUUGCUGACGCUGAGACGCGAAAGCGUGGGGAGCAAACAG
This 252-nucleotide ribosomal RNA is filed under the name uncultured bacterium. RNAcentral's name for it is "partial 16S ribosomal RNA". It matches the Rfam family "Bacterial small subunit ribosomal RNA", at positions 524 to 775 of the family's 1533-position model. The record is from RNAcentral.